GAUUGGUUUUGCCAUACUAGGUUAAUUCGAAUUGAUCUGUUUAUUUUUCAUAUGUGGAUAAUACUAAACAAAGUUUGGUUUGGUUCGGCCCUGUUUUAUUAGUUCUUUCAAAAACAGUAAGAAAGAAGAAAUCCUCAUUCAGGAGUCAGGUUGUUUUAGUGUGAGGAUAUUUGAAUUACCAUAUUUGUAAUUUCCUGGUUUAAAACUUCGAUAGCCAUAUCAAUAACCCAAGAACUGCAGAUUCAUUAUGAACAAGCAUGUAGGAUCUUCGGCCUGAAAUAGGAAAGUGUGCUUGGAGACUCAUGAAGGUAUCUAUUGAAUAU
Molecule: unclassified non-coding RNA, 323 nt
Filed under: Hevea brasiliensis (rubber tree)
Lineage: Eukaryota; Viridiplantae; Streptophyta; Magnoliopsida; Malpighiales; Euphorbiaceae
Source: RNAcentral